RNAcentral lists this ribosomal RNA (406 nucleotides) under uncultured bacterium. Its description in RNAcentral is "partial 16S ribosomal RNA". It matches the Rfam family "Bacterial small subunit ribosomal RNA", at positions 30 to 526 of the family's 1533-position model. The record is from RNAcentral.
AUUGAACGCUGGCGGCAGGCCUAACACAUGCAAGUCGAACGAGUGGCGGACGGGUGAGUAAUGUCUGGGAAACUGCCCGAUGGAGGGGGAUAACUACUGGAAACGGUAGCUAAUACCGCAUACCAUCGGAUGUGCCCAGAUGGGAUUAGCUAGUAGGUGGGGUAAUGGGUAACCUAGGUGGCGAUCCAUAGCGGGUCUGAGAGGAUGACCGGCCACCCUGGAACUGAGCAACGUUCCAGACUCCUACGCGAGGCAGCAGUGGGGAAUAUUGCACAAUGGGCACAAGCCGGAUGCAGCCAUGCCGCGUGUAUGAUGAAGGCCUUCGGGUUGUAAAGUACUUUCAGCGAGGAGGCGUUACUCGCAGAAGAAGCACCGGCUAACUCCGUGCCAGCCGCCGCGGUAAUUC